CAAAGUAUAGCUUAACCAAAGCAUCUCGCUUACACCGAGAAAAUAUCUGUGAAACUCGGAUUAUUUUGA
This 69-nucleotide transfer RNA is filed under the name Nyctimantis cf. brunoi BLB-2020. RNAcentral's name for it is "tRNA-Val". It matches the Rfam family "tRNA". From Rfam's summary of the family: Transfer RNA (tRNA) molecules are approximately 80 nucleotides in length. Their secondary structure includes four short double-helical elements and three loops (D, anti-codon, and T loops). The record is from RNAcentral. Lineage: Eukaryota; Metazoa; Chordata; Amphibia; Anura; Hylidae.